Gallus gallus (chicken) is the source of this 1507-nucleotide long non-coding RNA. The record is from Ensembl. Lineage: Eukaryota; Metazoa; Chordata; Aves; Galliformes; Phasianidae.
CAGUACCUCACUGCUCAGCGAGUGAGAUCCUCCUACACUCUCCCUCACACAUCUCCUCCUUGCCUUCAGGCCUUCCUCUUCAGGGUUGUUUUGCCAUCGCACUGCUGCUUUUUCUUGCUCAAGCUCCUACUUGGUGUACUGCCCUGUGCUCACGUGGCCUGCAGCUUCCUCCUCUGCUGGUAGCAUUCAGCGCUGUCACUCCCAGAAGGAUGAGCAGGGUUUCUGCCUCAGCUUCCUUACUUACACAGCCUCAUGGAAGAAGGAAGGAAAGGGAAAUCACUGAGCAUACAUUUAUUGAACAGGAUAGACUUUCUGAAGCUGAAGACUUUAAUUUGCUGCCGAUCAGAAAAGAGAGGAGCUGGCCAUCACAAUCUCACUGAUGGAUAUACCUGAUGGACAAUUUGGCUUUCCCAGCUGUCUCCUGAAGAGCAGAAUUAUGGAGCCCAGAAGACUAAAAUCCAAAGAACAUGUUCAUUCUCCAGCUACAGUGCACAGUGCACUACUGACAAGAGGUGGAGAUAGGAAAGAGGUGGCCUACUGUCUGCUUGGCACGUUGAGUACUGGAUAGAUCUCUUAUACUCAUGUCUCAAGGACACCAGAUCUGGGAAAGAUCAAGGCUGGCCUUAACAUCUAUAGAGAACUGCACAGAAGAUAAAAAGAGAAGCAAAAAAAAAAAAAAAAACCAAAACAAUAAUCACAAAGAAAGGGAGAGGAAUGUAAUGAAAUAUUUGUGGGAAUGGUUUAACUUCCAAUUUCAGUAAAAAUAAUUUUUCACCCAAGUAUCAAGAGAUAAUAAACCAGAAAUUAAAUUCUUAAAAAACAAACAAUCAUCUUAGUGAUUUAUAACAUUGUUCCUUGAUCAUCAGCUGGAGAGUUAAAUUAUCUAGAUGAGAUACACAGUAAUGUGGGGUUACACAUCGUUUUUUUCCAAGAUAUAUGAGCACCAUGUGUUAUAACUUCCUUGAGGACUGCAUUGUGGUUAGGCCACUUUGUUGAUUUUUUUUUGUUUUUUUUUUAUGAGAGUUGUUGUUUUCUUAUGAGGAAAGACUAAUCUCACAAAGAAAAAGCAGUUCCUUAAAAUGCACUCUGGAUUUUAUUAGGCACAGAUUAGUACUAUUUCCUCACACUGUUACUCCUACAAUAUAGCUUCUGCACCCAUUCGUAAGCAAUAGCGUGACACAUCAUUAUGAAGCUCUAUGGACUGUGUUUUUAAUACUGUGAUUACAUAAGAAAGCACAUGUAAGUAAGGACCUGGUUCUGUACCCUCUUAAGUCAGUGGUGCAAUUCUGAACCACAUAAAUAAAUCAGAUUUAUAGUUGUGAACUUGACAUUAAUUUUAUUUUUAAAAGAAUAUGUAUCGUAUGAAGGUAUAUCAAGUUUAUGUUUGAAAUAAACAUCUAAUAUAUACAAUAUUAAAGAACAGAAUAUGCUUCCCACUGCCCCUUCCCUUCCCUUCCCUUCCCUUCCCUUCCCUUCCCUUCCCUUCCCUUCCCUUCCCUUCCCUUCC